Molecule: RNA transcript, 5654 nt
Organism: Delphinapterus leucas (beluga whale)
Lineage: Eukaryota; Metazoa; Chordata; Mammalia; Artiodactyla; Monodontidae
Gene: MFAP3
Gene name: microfibril associated protein 3
Source: RefSeq, a predicted model, not a curated record
UGUGAGGAUUAAAUGGGAUAACACGUAAAGCACCCAGCCAGUCCCUGUGAGAGUAGAUGUCCAUUAAACAUUACUCCGCCCCUGACUCCUCAUUAAAGAUGAAAAAGCAAAGCACUGAGAAGCUAAAUGUCUUAGCUGACAUUUUCCAGUGUGUUUUCCCAGACUUUGUGGUCAGUCCCUGGGCCAUCUCCAGGUAAGGUUUUCUCUUUGCUGCAGUUGGUAGUCAAGGAUCUUGACUUUUCUCAGUUCCCUCUUAGCCAAGGUGGGACCCUGGCAGAUAGGGCCCAUCAGAAGCCUUUGCCCAGCCACCCUUCCCUCUUACUGGCCCUUCUUUUCUGCCCUCUCCCCAUAGCUUGAAAAGAAGACUAGGACAAGGAGAAGUUAAAAGCUCCCUUGGUCAUCAAGAGAAUUAAGGUCAGACCAAGAGCUGCAAAUGAAACAGAUAUCCAUGAGUUCGGGUGUUUAAGAAACAAGCUAGAAGAGUCUACCAAGAAGAUUCCUGGGGUACAAUGCCAAGUGCACCCCAACUAAAGUGCACAGAGAUUGCCCUCGCCAGAGUUAUCAUCAUUUUCAUCAUGGUCACCAUUUAUUGAAAGCUCGCUGUCUACUUGGCACUGCAUUAAGAGGAGGAAAAACUAUGAUGGUCAUAGAUGCAAGAACCAAGCCAAACCUUGGAAGCACAUUUAUGGCCUCUGCUCACACCAAGUCCUUAUCGUUCCAUUGGCCCAAGCAAGUUAUAUGGCGAAGCCCAACAUCCAUAAGUAACUGCUGGGAGCCCACGACUAGAACAGCCGUCAACUGAAAAUGAAGGAACAGCUCAGCUCAUGUCAGAACGGAGUCUUUAAGGGCGUCUCUAUUACUUCCUCCAAGCACUUCACACCCAGCCUCCUGGAAGGGCUGCUCCAUCAGCCCAGCCCCUGAAAUCACGUGGGUGAUCUUUUUUUUUUUUUUUUCCAAAUUGCGUUUUCAAACUUUCACUUAAAGGAAGAUGACGGGUGGGAGUGUAUGACCUGAAGUGACAAGAAAAUCAAUAGCAGGCUUUCAGAGUCAUUCUGGAUAAAAGGCCCAGGGGUCACAUUAUAGAAAGGAAGGGGAAGGAAGGGACAGUGGGGAAUCUGCUGGAGGCCUCCCAGAUCUUCUCAGAAGGUGUGCUCCCUUUGCCCUGGGGGUGGGAAGGAAUGGCUAGAUAGAGCCCCAAGCCUAAAGCUUAUGUAUUGAGUCCUAGAACGUGGAGGCUGGGAGGCGCCUGUGAAAUGGAUCAAAUCCUAGCCCUUUGUUUUAUUCAAUAUGUCUGUCAAAAGCCCAGUAAGUCAGACUUACUACCCACAGUAAGUCAACCCAGGGGCCAGACCAGGACCCUGGGUUCCUGAUUCCCACACCAGGGUCUUACCGUUACAUCAGGAGAGUCCAAUGUGUGAGGCACAAUAAUGGCCCCCCAAAUAUGUCCAUGUCCUAACCCCAGAACCUGUGAAUAUGCUACCUGACAUGGCAAGACUUUGCAGAUGUGAUUAAGUUAGGAUCUUGAGAUGGGGAGAUUAUCCUGGGUUAUCUGGAUAGGUCCAAUGUAAUCACAAGGGUCCUUAUGAGAGGGAGGCAGGAGGGUCAGAGUAAGAGGAGAUGUGAUGACAGAAGCAGAGAUGGACCCAGGCAGCCUCCAGAGGUUGGAAAAGGCAAAGCAAGGGAUUGUUCCCCUACAGUCUCCAGAAGAACCAUAGCUGCCAGCCUAUUUUAGACUCCUGACCUCCAGAACUGUAAAGUAAUAACUCUGUGUUGCAUUAAGACACUAAGUUUGUGGUGAUUUGUUAUAGCUGCAAUCAGAAAGUAAUACAUCCUGUGAUACCACUCAACCCACAUGCUAAUCCUGCAAAUCCCCCAGAGACAGGAAGAGUCAGGGAGUGCAUCCAUACUUGAGUGGCACUAUGUCAUAGUGAUUAUGAGCACACACUGCAGAAACAAGCCCAAAGACCAUCCACAGGAGAAUGGAUAGAUACAUCGUACCUACUCACACACUGCAGAAAAGCAUACGACAGUUCAAAAGAACAAACUUCUGAAACACGCAACGACAUGGAUGAAGCAAUGACAUUGGAGAGAAACAAGCCAAGACACAAAAAGAUUAUGUAAUGAAUGAUUCCAGUUGCAUAAAAUUCAAGCACAGACUGGGGACUUCCCUGGCGGUCCAGUGGUUAGGAUUCUGCUCUUCCACUGCAGGGGACACGGGUUCGAUCCCUGGUUGGGGUACUAAGAUCCCACUGCUGCAUGGCACAGCCAGAAAAAAAAAAAAGAAAAAAAAAUUCAAGCACAGACAAAGCAAAUCUAUGGUGAUAAAAAUAAAAAAUGGUGGUUAUCCUGGAGGGAGAGUAUCAAAGACAAGAGUGAUAAAAAGAGCCAGCUGGGACGGGAAAUGUUCCCUGUCAUGAUCUGCUUACAUAUGGUAUACAUACCUAAAACUCCACUGAGCAGUGUGCUUGGGAUUCGCUCACUUCCCUAUAAGUUAUACUGCAGUUUAAUCUCAGCUCCAGCAUUGCCUGUGUGACUUUGGGCAGGUUACCAAGCUCAUCUGUGACUGCAUUUCUCAUCUGUGUAAUGGGAAUAUUAACAGCUCCUGCCUCAUAGAGUUGCUGUGGGUUAGUAUAUAUAAAGUGCUUACCACUGGGCCUGACACAUGGUAAGUGCUUCCUAAACCCUGCUCAUUGUUCGUUGGGUGUGAAUGCAGGGGUGAGCUGGAGCCAGUGCCCACCUGCACAUGGGAGCCGAUCUUGUGUCUCACCUCCCAACUCCACAAUCACACAUUAUGCUGGAAGCACAAAAAAAAUCAGCCGUGGUGGGAGUAUUUACACCCUCACUACUGGCCAAAGCGGCAAGUCAGUGCCUUUUGUGUUGCCUUGUUUGGAGAGCCCACAUACCGCUGUGUACAUGGCUGACACCAGACCUUCUCUGGACAGUGUUUCACUUUAGGAAAGGGGAAGAGAAGAUGGGGGACCUGUGGUGACGAAAGCAGGACCUGCCACCUCCUCUCCACUCCUCACUGGCCCAGGAGGCUGGAAGGCGCUCAAAGAGCCAGGCUCUAGAGACUUGAGUAUGGGCCUCGUGAUGGCAUCAGAGUCCCCCACCAAUGUCUCUUUUCUCUUCUCUCACCCCUGGGCUUUAGCCACUUAACCCAGCCUUUCAGACCCCAUCUCCCCUUAAUAUGUGCCUUGUGAGAGGCCUGGCCCACCUUCCCACCCAUCCCCUAGCACCAGGGACCCCUCCAGCCAACCCCUCCCCAGCCCUCAGAGAACUGCCCAGAGUCACACUCCCUGUUCCUUCUCUGCCUGGAACCAACUGCCCUCAGAUCCUCUUUGAAUCAGCUCUUUCUCAUCCUUAAUGUCUUAGCUCAAAGGUCACCUCUUCAGAGAAGCCCUUCUUGGCCUCACUCUCUCACUCUCCAUCACGCCACUCAUCACUGACUGAAAUUCUUGUAUGUGUGACUGUCUGCCUAUUUAGUGUCUGAUUCCCAACUAGGAUGUUAAUUCCAGGAUACACACUAUUUUCAUCAUCCCUAUUCUAUAUAUCAAGAAACCGAGGACUGCAGAAGUUAAAUAAUUUACCCAUAUGGUCACAAAGCCAAGAAGUGACAGAGCUGGGAUUUGAACCCAUACAAGCCGACAUGCUUAGCUGCUCUGUCAUGAUGGACUGCCAGAAAAGCAGGGCAGUGUAGGCAACUGGUGAGUCCAGAGAGAAGUCAGGUGAGCAGGAGCCUAGGUUGGGUGUAGGGGGUGAAUAAGGGGCACACCUGCCAAGCUAAGGAGUUUGACAGUCUGGCUGGAAGUAAGUCUGACGUCCCAAGGCCAGUGAGUAACAAGGUGUAGAGAGCAAUAAAAGGCCCAUAGGAGGCAUCGAAGCAGUGCGUGCAGAAUGUGCCUUUAUUCACUUAUUUAUAGAGGAUGAGAAAUUAAUCAAGGGCCCAUGCUUUGAACUACCAGCGCCUUCUCUUCUCCUGCAGCAGGUCAGUUGGUAUGAUUAGCUAGCACCGGGGAAGGAAGCCAAAUUCUCUGCUUUUCUCUGAGACUCGCAGACUCCCUGUUACAGGGCCUUUCCCAAGCCAGGAAAUCAGUCCUUUGGCCAGAGAAGCAUUGGCUCCAUGCAGGAAAGCGGGGAUCAGGAGUGGGAAUGGGGGAAGCCAGCUGGGGCAGUGAAAAGAGUACUGGACAGGAGGAAUCCUCAAGCCCCAUAGGACCAUGUCGAGCACUUAGCGCAGUGCCUGACACGUACUGAGCGCUCAGGAAAUGCUGGGUGGUGGUGGUGGUCCCAGGUCUCUGUGACCUUAGGCAAGUCAUAGUCUUUCUGUGUUCCCCUUCCCUCAUAUGCAGAAGACAGUUGAAAAGAAUUGCCUGCUGGGCCCUCCUCUCAGAGAAGCUAAGGGGUGCUCAGCACAGUGAGUGGUAGCAGCCUCAUAAAUGCUUAUGGAAUGACUAUAGUGCGUGUUAACCGUAAAAACCUUUAAAAACCUAAGUUGUUAUUUCAACAGCCAUCUGAAAAUACGAUAAGAUGUCUGGGCAGGUGCUGAGGUCCCCUCACUGGGUUCACUCCGAGAGCAGCUGGGAGGGGAGACGCUGGCAUGGAGUGCCGGCUGGGGCUCCCCUCUGGGGACAGUGCUAUUUAGAGAAUUGGCUUUAGAGCCCAACAGUGAGAGUUCAACUCCCAGCCCAGCUACCUGUUAGCUGUGUGGUUUUAAGUUCCUUCCUCUCCCGGAUCCUUGGUUCCCUCUCCUCAAAAACUGCAAUAAUAACAGUAACUGCCUUAUAUGAUUGUUUGGAAAAUUCCUUGAUACAACGGACAAGUAACUGACAUAUUGGGCCAUUAACACGAAAUGGCUUUUUUUCCUUCUAUUUCUGCCUCUAGUUGUACCCAGUCAGCUCCAUCAUCUUACCCACUUGAUGAUGAUCACUUCAGCAGAUGCCAAACAUUCUGGUCAUUUAAAGCCCAUUUCUUCCUUCCUCCUAGUGUGGGUUGGACCGAUGGCUCAAGAAACAGGACCAGAAGUGGGCAGGGGCUUGGCCUGCUCAUUCAUGCCCCCUCCUCCCUGCACCUCCCUCCCUCUCUGAGUCUGGGUCUUUCCUUCCUCCUCUGACAUCUAGUGUCCAAGGUGGGUAGCUGAUGUGUCACCCAUCUGACCUCCUGGGGGUGGGGGGAAGUGUCCCUGGCCUCCCAGAGGGUCAGCGACUUUCCACGAGGUGCUGGUGGCCUCUGCGGAUGUGGUGGUCCUUGUUGUGGUGGUGCGUCUUCGUUUCUUAGGGUGGUAUUUAACUUCACUCAACGGCAGCUCUGCAGACCCCCCAGAGAGCAGCAGCCUACUCUUCCUCAGCCCUGCCAGGGCCAUGAUGGCCCUUCUCCUCUCUUGCCAGCCUCAGGCCCUGCCAUGCGAAGGAAGUCUCCAGGCUCCUUCACAUGGAGCUGCAGGACCCAGGCCUUUGGGUCCUUAAGCACUACUACACACCAGCUCCCUACUCACUGUAGGGGAGGGAAGAUUUUUCCUCAACCCUUUUAAGGUCCCCGACUGGGUCUGAAAAUUAAACUGACAGCCAAAUUAAGAGGAGAAAAGCAUACAUAUAUAUCUAAGUAAGUUUUACACGCAAGCCUUCCAAAGGAAAUGAAGACCUGAGGAAAUGAUUAAA